AGAAUCAACGCUGGCGGCGUGCCUAACACAUGCAAGUCGAACGCGAAAGUCCCGCAAGGGAUGAGUAGAGUGGCAAACGGGUGAGUAACACGUGGGUGACUUGCCUUCGAGUGGGGGAUAACGUCCCGAAAGGGACGCUAAUACCGCAUAACAUCCUGCUUUUUAAGAGGUGGAGAGCAAAGCCGGGGAUCGCAAGACCUGGCGCUUGAAGAGGGGCCCGCGUCCGAUUAGCUAGUUGGUGGGGUAAUGGCUCACCAAGGCGACGAUCGGUA
Molecule: ribosomal RNA, 272 nt
Filed under: uncultured bacterium
Lineage: Bacteria
Description: partial small subunit ribosomal RNA
Rfam family: Bacterial small subunit ribosomal RNA
Source: RNAcentral